This 488-nucleotide ribosomal RNA is filed under the name uncultured bacterium. RNAcentral describes it as "bacterial SSU rRNA". It matches the Rfam family "Bacterial small subunit ribosomal RNA", at positions 21 to 507 of the family's 1533-position model. The record is from RNAcentral.
GGCUCAGAUUGAACGCUGGCGGCAGGCCUAACACAUGCAAGUCGAGCGCGAAAGGCCUUCGGGCUGAGUAGAGCGGCGGACGGGUGAGUAACGCGUAGGAAUCUACCUGGUAGUGGGGGACAACUUGGGGAAACUCAAGCUAAUACCGCAUACGCCCUAUGGGGGAAAUGGGGGGGCCUUCGGGCCUCACGCUAUCAGAUGAGCCUGCGUAGGAUUAGCUAGUUGGUGAGGUAAAGGCUCACCAAGGCGACGAUCCUUAGCUGGUCUGAGAGGAUGAUCAGCCACACUGGGACUGAGACACGGCCCAGACUCCUACGGGAGGCAGCAGUGGGGAAUAUUGGACAAUGGGCGAAAGCCUGAUCCAGCAAUGCCGCGUGUGUGAAGAAGGCCUGAGGGUUGUAAAGCACUUUCAAUCGUGAAGAAAAGUUGCAGGCUAAUACCCUGUGACCUUGACGUUAACGAUACAAGAAGCACCGGCUAACUCCGUG